RNAcentral lists this ribosomal RNA (514 nucleotides) under uncultured bacterium. Its description in RNAcentral is "bacterial SSU rRNA". It matches the Rfam family "Bacterial small subunit ribosomal RNA", at positions 28 to 532 of the family's 1533-position model. The record is from RNAcentral.
GACGAACGCUGGCGGCGUGCCUAACACAUGCAAGUCGAACGGUGAAUAGUGGUAGAUUGUUUAUACAGUCUACUGCUAGGAACAGUGGCGGACGGGUGAGUAACGCGUGGAUAACCUGCCUGUAAGACUGGGAUAACACCGGGAAACCGGUGCUAAUACCGGGCGUGCUGUAGAAUGGGCAUCCAUUUUACAGGGAAGGACUUUAAGUCUGCUUACAGAUGGGUCCGCGUCCCAUUAGCUAGCUGGUGGGGUAAAAGCCUACCAGGGCGACGAUGGGUAGCCGGCCUGAGAGGGUGGUCGGCCACACUGGGACUGAGACACGGCCCAGACUCCUACGGGAGGCAGCAGUGGGGAAUAUUGCGCAAUGGGCGGAAGCCUGACGCAGCGACGCCGCGUGGGUGACGAAGGCCUUCGGGUCGUAAAACCCUCGUUGUCAGGGGACGAAGGAAGUGACGGUACCCUGUGAGGAAGCCCCGGCUAACUACGUGCCAGCAGCCGCGGUAAGAGUAGUACA